Molecule: long non-coding RNA, 619 nt
Organism: Sinocyclocheilus grahami
Lineage: Eukaryota; Metazoa; Chordata; Actinopteri; Cypriniformes; Cyprinidae
Exons: 2
Source: RefSeq, a predicted model, not a curated record
CCUUGCACUUCAAAUGAGUUUCUCUUUUCUCUGGAAUAGUCUGGUCAAAGCUGAAGUCACAGAAAGCAUUAGAGCGCUGGCAGCCAGACACCGAGGAGGAAUAUGAAGACUCCAGCGGAAACGUGGUCAACAAGAAGACUUUUGAGGAUCUGAAACGCCAGGGGCUUCUGUAGCACAACAAACAAGAUCUCUGAACACAAAAUACUCGCAGUGUAAAUACUGAGGCAGAAAUGUGAUCGUUUAGUCCUCUUGUCUUUUCCAGUUUGUGAGAAAUGUGAUUGGUCUUUUUAAAAGCGAUCAGUAUGUACAUUUUUAUUACUAUUUGAUUGUUCCCAAUUUUUCUCAUUUGGUGUCUUAAAUUUGAGACUUUCAUUAAUCAAUAAAUUGUAGUACAUUGUGUGAAAAAUGAUUACUUGUGCAGCAUGCUGUUUUUAAAAUCAGACCGUGAGAUGGUUUUACUUCAGUGGGCAUCUGUCAUUUCACUAAAAAAUAUUCUGACCCCUUCAUUUUUCCCAACAUUUUAUGUUGCAGCCUCCACAUCAGACUACACUCCAUACAUCAUAAUGUCAAAGCAAAAUCAGAUGUGUGAUGACUGCAAAUGAAAAAAGACCAUUUAAAA